AUUGAACGCUGGCGGCAUGCUUUACACAUGCAAGUCGAGCGGCAGCGCGGGGCAACCUGGCGGCGAGCGGCGAACGGGUGAGGAAUACAUCGGAACGUACCCCGGAGUGGGGGAUAACGCCGCGAAAGCGGCGCUAAUACCGCAUAUGCUCUGAGGAGGAAAGUGGGGGACCGCAAGGCCUCACGCUCUGGGAGCGGCCGAUGUCCGAUUAGCUAGUUGGUGGGGUAAUGGCUUACCAAGGCGACGAUCGGUAGCUGGUCUGAGAGGAUGAUCAGCCACACUGGGACUGAGACACGGCCCAGACUCCUACGGGAGGCAGCAGUGGGGAAUUUUGGACAAUGGGGGCAACCCUGAUCCAGCCAUGCCGCGUGCGGGAAGAAGGCCUCGGUUGUAA
This 394-nucleotide ribosomal RNA is filed under the name uncultured bacterium. Its description in RNAcentral is "bacterial SSU rRNA". It matches the Rfam family "Bacterial small subunit ribosomal RNA", at positions 28 to 428 of the family's 1533-position model. The record is from RNAcentral.